This 21-nucleotide unclassified non-coding RNA is filed under the name Mus musculus (house mouse). RNAcentral describes it as "oocyte_clustered_small_RNA4364". Lineage: Eukaryota; Metazoa; Chordata; Mammalia; Rodentia; Muridae. The record is from RNAcentral.
UGGCUGUCGAGUAGGCAUAGG